RNAcentral lists this unclassified non-coding RNA (332 nucleotides) under soil metagenome. Its description in RNAcentral is "partial contains 5.8S ribosomal RNA, internal transcribed spacer 2, and large subunit ribosomal RNA". The stretch from base 1 to 120 matches the Rfam family "5.8S ribosomal RNA", at positions 35 to 154 of the family's 154-position model. The record is from RNAcentral.
GAUGAAGAACGCAGCGAAAUGCGAUAAGUAAUGUGAAUUGCAGAAUUCAGUGAAUCAUCGAAUCUUUGAACGCACAUUGCGCCCGCCAGUAUUCUGGCGGGCAUGCCUGUUCGAGCGUCAUUUCAACCCUCAAGCACAGCUUGGUGUUGGGACUCGCGUUAAUUCGCGUUCCCCAAAUUGAUUGGCGGUCACGUCGAGCUUCCAUAGCGUAGUAGUAAAACCCUCGUUACUGGUAAUCGUCGCGGCCACGCCGUUAAACCCCAACUUCUGAAUGUUGACCUCGGAUUAGGUAGGAAUACCCGCUGAACUUAAGCAUAUCAAUAAGCGGAGGA